This 22-nucleotide non-coding RNA is filed under the name Arabidopsis thaliana (thale cress). Lineage: Eukaryota; Viridiplantae; Streptophyta; Magnoliopsida; Brassicales; Brassicaceae. The record is from RNAcentral.
GCAUCAUGCUAGAUAUAGCCCA